This is a long non-coding RNA of Oncorhynchus tshawytscha (Chinook salmon), 501 nucleotides long. NCBI's taxonomy places the organism in Eukaryota, Metazoa, Chordata, Actinopteri, Salmoniformes, Salmonidae. The record is from Ensembl.
CCUCUCUUGCAAUCUCGUAGUAGCCCACAGUACACAUUCUUGCUAUCCUUGGAUCAAGGAAACCUAUUUGGGUCUCUGCUCGUCAAUCUCGUAUCUCUGCAGUAGCAUUUCUUGAUGAUAUGAGAGCUAAUAUAGGCGAAUCCCUGCACCAUAGGCGUCACAUCUUCUUGCCAAAGCUGGAUCUCUAUGUAUUUUUGUGAUCGUUGAACAAAACCCAAGAAACCGGGGGCUGCGUGGAAUAACAACGAACAUGACUGCGAUGGGGAAAUUUAAGCAUACCCUGCUUAUUUUUGCAUGUCUGAUUACCGCAGCUAACGGAUCCCCAUUAGCUGAUGAUGUCACGGCAGUCGUCGGUGGAGGAAUAAGUGGACCAAAGCGCAGCGUGGAAUGUUUUCCACCCUCACUGUUCCUCAAAUGAAGAUGUAAUUUUCAAAAUGCUAUAUCCACCAGUUUGUCAGUAUGUUUUUUCAGAAAUGAUUGCUUAUGGGUACCUUCAUGUGC